GCGGAGGAAAAGAAAAUAACAAUGAUUUCCCUAGUAACGGCGAGUGAAGAGGAAAAAGCUCAAAGUUGGAAUCCGGUUGCCCUAGGUAAUUGGAGUUGUAAACUGGAGAGGCGUUUUCCAGGCAAACCAAGCAAAUAAGUCCUUUGGAACAGGGCAUCAUAGAGGGUGAGAAUCCCGUCUUUGGCUUGAGUAUUGUCUUUUGUGAUACGCUUUCAAAGAGUCAGGUUGUUUGGGAAUGCAGCCUAAAUUGGGUGGUAAAUCUCACCUAAAGCUAAAUAUUGGCGAGAGACCGAUAGCGAACAAGUACCGUGAGGGAAAGAUGAAAAGAACUUUGAAAAGAGAGUUAAACAGUAUGUGAAAUUGUUGAAAGGGAACCGUUUGGAGCCAGACUGGCUGCUCUAUAAUCAAUCUCUGCUUCGGUAGGGAUGCACUUGUAGGGCUUUGGCCUGCCAACAGCAAUUUUUUUUGAAGGAAAAAACCAAGAGGAAUGUGGCCCUUCGGGGUGUUAUAGCCUUUUGGAAAAUACUUUGAAGGGGAUUGAGGACUGCAGCAGAUGCUUUUGGCGAAAUGUGUAGGUGCUUGUGUUAAUGAAGUAUAGAAUUUCUGCCUCGGGUGGUGCUAUGCUCUGAUGCGCAACUCGCUUGCUCUAUUUUUCUAUCUGCUUAGGUUGUUGGCUUAAUGACUCUAAAUGAC
This 693-nucleotide ribosomal RNA is filed under the name Backusella tuberculispora. RNAcentral's name for it is "eukaryotic LSU rRNA". It matches the Rfam family "Eukaryotic large subunit ribosomal RNA", at positions 50 to 648 of the family's 3401-position model. Lineage: Eukaryota; Fungi; Mucoromycota; Mucoromycetes; Mucorales; Backusellaceae. The record is from RNAcentral.